UCGAGAAUCUUUCGCAAUGGGCGAAAGCCUGACGAUGCGACGCCGCGUGAGGGAUGAAGGUCUUCGGAUCGUAAACCUCUGUCACACGGGAAGAACGUCCUAUGGGUGAAUAACCCUGUGGGCUGACUGUACUGUGAGAGGAAGCCCCGGCUAACUCCGUGCCAGCAGCCGCGGUAAUACGGAGGGGGCAAACGUUGUUCGGAUUUAUUGGGUGUAAAGGGUGUGUAGGCGGGCUUGUAAGUCGGAUGUGAAAUACUUUAGCUUAACUAAAGAACUGCAUUCGAAACUGCUUGUCUUGAGUUUGGGAGAGGAGAGUGGAAUUCUCGGUGUAAGGGUGAAAUCUGUAGAUAUCGAGAGGAACACCAGUGGCGAAAGCGGCUCUCUGGACCAAAACUGACGCUGAAACACGAAAGCUAGGGGAGCAAACAGG
RNAcentral lists this ribosomal RNA (430 nucleotides) under uncultured bacterium. RNAcentral's name for it is "bacterial SSU rRNA". It matches the Rfam family "Bacterial small subunit ribosomal RNA", at positions 355 to 776 of the family's 1533-position model. The record is from RNAcentral.